RNAcentral lists this ribosomal RNA (356 nucleotides) under uncultured Anoxybacillus sp. RNAcentral's name for it is "bacterial SSU rRNA". It matches the Rfam family "Bacterial small subunit ribosomal RNA", at positions 1026 to 1382 of the family's 1533-position model. The record is from RNAcentral. Lineage: Bacteria; Bacillati; Bacillota; Bacilli; Caryophanales; Anoxybacillaceae.
ACAGGGUGACAGGUGGUGCAUGGUUGUCGUCAGCUCGUGUCGUGAGAUGUUGGGUUAAGUCCCGCAACGAGCGCAACCCUCGACCUUAGUUGCCAGCAUUCAGUUGGGCACUCUAAGGUGACUGCCGGCUAAAAGUCGGAGGAAGGUGGGGAUGACGUCAAAUCAUCAUGCCCCUUAUGACCCGGGCUACACACGUGCUACAAUGGGCGGUACAAGGGUCGCGAACCCGCGAGGGGGAGCCAAUCCCAAAAAGACCGCUCUCAGUUCGGAUUGCAGGCUGCAACUCGCCUGCAUGAAGCCGGAAUCGCUAGUGAUCGCGGAUCAGCAUGCCGCGGUGAAUACGUUCCCGGGCCGUU